GACGAACGCUGGCGGCGUGCUUAACACAUGCAAGUCGAACGGAAAGGCCCUGCUUGCAGGGUACUCGAGUGGCGAACGGGUGAGUAACACGUGGGGGAUCUGCCCUGCACUUCGGGAUAAGCCUUGGAAACUGGGUCUAAUACCGGAGAGGGGCCAUUUUUAGUGUGAUGGUUGGAAAGUUUUUUGGGUGUAGGAUGAGCUCACGGCCUUUCAGCUUGUUGGUGGGGUAAUGGGCUACCAAGGCGGCGGCUGGCAGCCGGCCUGGGAGGGUGGACGGCCAAAUUGGGACUUGGAAACGGCCCAGACUCCUAAGGGAAGCAGGAGUGGGGAAUAUUGCACAAUGGGCGGAAGCCUGAUGCAGGGACGGCGCGGGGGGGAGGACGGGCUUCGGGUUGUAAACUCCUUUCGCUAGGGACGAAGCUGUUUGUGACGGUACCGAGAUAAGAAGCACCGGCUAACUACGUG
RNAcentral lists this ribosomal RNA (465 nucleotides) under uncultured bacterium. Its description in RNAcentral is "partial 16S ribosomal RNA". It matches the Rfam family "Bacterial small subunit ribosomal RNA", at positions 28 to 507 of the family's 1533-position model. The record is from RNAcentral.